AGAGUUUGAUCAUGGCUCAGGAUGAGCGCUGGCGGCGUGCCUAACACAUGCAAGUCGAGCGAUCUUCUUCGGAAGAGAGCGGCGGACGGGUGAGUAACGCGUGGGUAACCUGCCUCAUACACAUGGAUAACAUACCGAAAGGUAUGCUAAUACAAGAUGAUAUAAGAGAUUCGCAUGGAUUUCUUAUCAAAGCUCCGGCGGUAUGAGAUGGACCCGCGUCUGAUUAGCUAGUUGGUAAGGUAACAGCUUACCAAGGCGACGAUCAGUAGCCGACCUGAGAGGGUGAUCGGCCACAUUGGAACUGAGACACGGUCCAAACUCCUACGGGAGGCAGCAGUGGGGAAUAUUGCACAAUGGGCGAAAGCCUGAUGCAGCAACGCCGCGUGAGCGAUGAAGGCCUUCGGGUCGUAAAGCUCUGUCCUCAAGGAAGAUAAUGACGGUACUUGAGGAGGAAGCCCCGGCUAACUACGUGCCAGCAGCCGCGGUAAUACGUAGGGGGCUAGCGUUAUCCGGAUUUACUGGGCGUAAAGGGUGCGUAGGUGGUUUCUUAAGUCAGGAGUGAAAGGCUACGGCUCAACCGUAGUAAGCUCUUGAAACUGGGAAACUUGAGUGCAGGAGAGGAAAGUGGAAUUCCUAGUGUAGCGGUGAAAUGCGUAGAUAUUAGGAGGAACACCAGUAGCGAAGGCGGCUUUCUGGACUGUAACUGACACUGAGGCACGAAAGCGUGGGGAGCAAACAGGAUUAGAUACCCUGGUAGUCCACGCCGUAAACGAUGAGUACUAGUGUCGGGGGUUACCCCCCUCGGUGCCGCAGCUAACGCAUUAAGUACUCCGCCUGGGGAGUACGCUCGCAGAGUGAAACUCAAAGGAAUUGACGG
Molecule: ribosomal RNA, 877 nt
Filed under: uncultured bacterium
Lineage: Bacteria
Description: bacterial SSU rRNA
Rfam family: Bacterial small subunit ribosomal RNA
Source: RNAcentral